RNAcentral lists this ribosomal RNA (292 nucleotides) under Prosthecobacter fusiformis. The record is from RNAcentral. Lineage: Bacteria; Pseudomonadati; Verrucomicrobiota; Verrucomicrobiia; Verrucomicrobiales; Verrucomicrobiaceae.
AGAUACUAAUCAUCCGUUUGUCUUACAUUGCUUCCAUUUCAAAUCAGACACACCGUCUGCCUUGACCGAAAUUGUUUUUUAUCCUGUAUGCAGUUGUCAGGGAACUUGGAGUUCCUUGCCUUCAGACACCUGACCAGUUCAAACAAGCGCAAGCUUGGAUGACCUCUGAUCAGAAGUCUGGUGGUCAUGGCACAGUGGCACCACCCGUUCCCAUUCCGAACACGGAAGUGAAACGCUGUUGCGCCGAUGAUAGUUGGGCGAUAGGCCCUGCGAAAGUAGGUCGCUGCCAGUU